RNAcentral lists this long non-coding RNA (580 nucleotides) under Coffea arabica (coffee). RNAcentral describes it as "long non-coding RNA (CARA_LNC000058)". Lineage: Eukaryota; Viridiplantae; Streptophyta; Magnoliopsida; Gentianales; Rubiaceae. The record is from RNAcentral.
UAUCCCCAAGUCAAACAACCAUGUGAAAAGGAAAUAAAAUAAGAAUUAAAAAAGCACAGAGAAGGUGGUGGGCAGCAUUUGACAUCAGUUAAUUAGACCAUAAAGUAGUAUAGGAAUAAUUAGGAAAGCCAGUUUACUAGUACUUGCUAGCUAGUGCCUUGUAGUAGUAGUAGUAGCAGCAUGAAAAUAAUUACUAAAUAUUGAUGCUAAAAAAUGUUCAAGUGCUAAAUGAAUAAAUUGCUUACUCCAACCAUCACCAUCAUGGACAAAUUUGUAAUAGAUUCUAUGGAAGCUUGGAGAUGAUUUAGGGGUGGUAAGGGAACUUGAGAUCCGAACCUGGAAGUUGAUUCUACCUCGAAUCCGCGGCUGGAUUCGUCGAGGAUGUUAGGUUGGAUUCAAUUCACAAUAUUAUCGUACUUUAGUAAAUUGGAUAUAUCUUGAUGUAAAAAAAACUCUGAGUUGAGUGCUAUUCAAAGGACUUCGCAUUUAUAUAAAAAUCCCACCCUAAUUUAUUUAUAUCUAUAAGAAUUGGUGGAGCUCAAAAAUUGACCUUUACAUUCCACUAAAAUGAGAGAAUGAU